Molecule: ribosomal RNA, 235 nt
Filed under: Staphylococcus hominis
Lineage: Bacteria; Bacillati; Bacillota; Bacilli; Caryophanales; Staphylococcaceae
Description: partial 16S ribosomal RNA
Rfam family: Bacterial small subunit ribosomal RNA
Source: RNAcentral
CGGGGGGUGGGGGCCCUAUACAUGAAGUCGAGCGAACAGACGAGGAGCUUGCUCCUUUGACGUUAGCGGCGGACGGGUGAGUAACACGUAGGUAACCUACCUAUAAGACUGGGAUAACUUCGGGAAACCGGAGCUAAUACCGGAUAAUAUUUCGAACCGCAUGGUUCGAUAGUGAAAGAUGGCUUUGCUAUCACUUAUAGAUGGACCUGCGCCGUAUUAGCUAGUUGGUAAGGUA